CCCUACGGGGGGCAGCAGUGGGGGAUAUUGCACAAUGGGGGGAACCCUGAUGCAGCGACGCCGCGUGGGUGAAGAAGCGCCUCGGCGCGUAAAGCCCUGUCCGCAGGGAAGAAAAUGACGGUACCUGAAGAAGAAGCCCCGGCUAACUACGUGCCAGCAGCCGCGGUAAUACGUAGGGGGCAAGCGUUAUCCGGAUUUACUGGGUGUAAAGGGGGCGCAGACGGCGAUGCAAGCCAGGGGUGAAAGCCCGGGGCCCAACCCCGGGACUGCUCUUGGAACUGCGUGGCUGGAGUGCAGGAGGGGCG
This 305-nucleotide ribosomal RNA is filed under the name uncultured bacterium. RNAcentral describes it as "partial 16S ribosomal RNA". It matches the Rfam family "Bacterial small subunit ribosomal RNA", at positions 337 to 659 of the family's 1533-position model. The record is from RNAcentral.